GUCCAACUGUAUCAUUUUGUUUUAAAAAUUGUAUUAUUUAAUGUUUAACAUUCUUUUUUUUUUAAUUUUGAGUUCCAAAUUCUCUUCCUCCUUCCAGCCUUUUCCCCAUUUGUUGAGAAAGCAGGCAAUAUGAUAUCAAUUAUACAGGUGAAACCAUGCAAAACAUAUUUCCAUAUUAUCUGUUACCAGAAAAAAAAAAAGCAAUAAAGUGAACAAAUUACACUUUAAUUCGCACUCAGAGUUCAUCAGUUUUCCCUCUGGAAAACUGUUCUCCAGAAUGGUCAGACCAGUUCACAACUUGAUCAACAACGAAGUGGUGAACCUAUUUUUCCACAUCCUUUCCAUCGUUUGUCAUUUUCCUUUUCUGUCAAGUUAGCCAAUCUGAUGGAUGUGAGGUGGCACCUCACAGUUAAUUUAAUUUUUGUUUCUCUCAUCAAUAGUGAUUUAGAGCAUUUUUUUAAUGUGACCAUAGAUAGUUUUGAUUUCUUCUCUGAAAAUUGCCCAUUCAUAUCCUUUGGCCAUUUAUCAAUUGGGAUGGCUCUUACUUUUACAAAUUGACUCAGUUCCCUAGAUAGCUGAGAAAUUAGGCUUUUAUCAGAGAAACUUGUGGUGAUGAUUGAACCAAUAGAUGGGGUAAGGUACAAAUAGGAUCCUAGGAUUGUAGCUAGACUUUAGAGGUUACCCAGUUAAAGCAUUCAUAGAGGUAGGGAUGGAAGUGACUUGAGAAGUCAUUAAGUUUUACAGAUUGGGACCCCAAAAGGUCAGUGAUUUGCCCUGGGUCCUACAGCUUAAGUGGCAGAGUGAGAAUUUCCUGCCAGGGCCUCUGGCUCCUAAGCCAAAGUCUUCUCAAUACACCAGCCUGCCUCCUUCAUUUGGGUAAAGUGCUUUGCCAACUUGAGAGCUCUGUAAAGUAUUGUUAGAUGCCUGCUGACCACCUCCUGACUCCUUUUUUUCAGCUACGACUCCCUGGUAACCAUUUUUCCUCCCUCCUUCACAGUCCAAAGCUCAUUCUCUCACCCCUGGCAGCCCUGUGGGCACCAAGCCAGGCCAAGCUACUGUCUCCAGGGGAAACAUAGGCCCUUUUCAAAGUCCCGCCCCCACUCCCCACUCCAUCCCUCCCCUCCUCCUCUGUAGAGAGCGAGGGGCAAGGGAGAGAGGCUUGCUCCUUGGGCUUAGAGAUCCCCAGGGCUCCCCACCAUCGCCACCCAUCUGGGCUCCGCUCCAAGCCGGUCCAGGAGGCGCACGCGAGGCUGCUCUUGAGUUGUCCCAGCGUUGCCAGGGUGACCCCAGCUGGGUCCUAGGCUCGAGUGCACGCGCUGCUCUGCGGCCAGGCGAAGGCUGGGCCAAGGCUUUGGACCGACAGUUCCUUGGCUCCUGGGGGUCAGGGGCGGAACCAGGGCACCUCGAGCUAACCUCUUACAGCCCCAUUGGUGACUCCCAGGGACCAAAGGUUUGCUGCAAGAUACCAAAUAAGGACCAGUGUCACAAGGCUCCGAUGCUGUGACAUCCCCCACUGUGGGGCCACCCACUCUGGCUUACCCAUUGUGUCAUCAUGGCUCCCUGGAAAGGGAUUGGGGGAGUCAGGGUGAGCCCAAAGUCAAAGCAGAAGAAGGUACCAGUGGGCAGCACAUCGCCCCUGGGGACUGAAACCAUCUUGAAAUGACACCUUGGAGUUGUCUAAAAAAUUGACAUCUAGGAAAAGUCCCCGGACCCAAAGGACCCUGAACCCAAGCAAACACUGACUCCGGCAUCAGAAGAGGUCCCUCCUUCUCUAAU
RNAcentral lists this long non-coding RNA (1776 nucleotides) under Phascolarctos cinereus (koala). RNAcentral's name for it is "lncRNA (ENSPCIG00000033951.1)". Lineage: Eukaryota; Metazoa; Chordata; Mammalia; Diprotodontia; Phascolarctidae. The record is from RNAcentral.